AUUGAACGCUGGCGGCAGGCCUAACACAUGCAAGUCGAGCGGUAGCACAGAGAGCUUGCUCUCGGGUGACGAGCGGCGGACGGGUGAGUAAUGUCUGGGAAACUGCCUGAUGGAGGGGGAUAACUACUGGAAACGGUAGCUAAUACCGCAUAACGUCGCAAGACCAAAGUGGGGGACCUUCGGGCCUCAUGCCAUCAGAUGUGCCCAGAUGGGAUUAGCUAGUAGGUGGGGUAAUGGCUCACCUAGGCGACGAUCCCUAGCUGGUCUGAGAGGAUGACCAGCCACACUGGAACUGAGACACGGUCCAGACUCCUACGGGAGGCAGCAGUGGGGAAUAUUGCACAAUGGGCGCAAGCCUGAUGCAGCCAUGCCGCGUGUGUGAAGAAGGCCUUCGGGUUGUAAAGCACUUUCAGCGGGGAGGAAGGCGAUAAGGUUAAUAACCUUGUCGAUUGACGUUACCCGCAGAAGAAGCACCGGCUAACUCCGUGCCAGCAGCCGCGGUAAUACGGAGGGUGCAAGCGUUAAUCGGAAUUACUGGGCGUAAAGCGCACGCAGGCGGUCUGUCAAGUCGGAUGUGAAAUCCCCGGGCUCAACCUGGGAACUGCAUUCGAAACUGGCAGGCUAGAGUCUUGUAGAGGGGGGUAGAAUUCCAGGUGUAGCGGUGAAAUGCGUAGAGAUCUGGAGGAAUACCGGUGGCGAAGGCGGCCCCCUGGACAAAGACUGACGCUCAGGUGCGAAAGCGUGGGGAGCAAACAGGAUUAGAUACCCUGGUAGUCCACGCCGUAAACGAUGUCGAUUUGGAGGUUGUGCCCUUGAGGCGUGGCUUCCGGAGCUAACGCGUUAAAUCGACCGCCUGGGGAGUACGGCCGCAAGGUUAAAACUCAAAUGAAUUGACGGGGGCCCGCACAAGCGGUGGAGCAUGUGGUUUAAUUCGAUGCAACGCGAAGAACCUUACCUGGUCUUGACAUCCACAGAACUUUCCGGAGAUGGAUUGGUGCCUUCGGGAACUGUGAGACAGGUGCUGCAUGGCUGUCGUCAGCUCGUGUUGUGAAAUGUUGGGUUAAGUCCCGCAACGAGCGCAACCCUUAUCCUUUGUUGCCAGCGGUUCGGCCGGGAACUCAAAGGAGACUGCCAGUGAUAAACUGGAGGAAGGUGGGGAUGACGUCAAGUCAUCAUGGCCCUUACGAGUAGGGCUACACACGUGCUACAAUGGCAUAUACAAAGAGAAGCGACCUCGCGAGAGCAAGCGGACCUCAUAAAGUAUGUCGUAGUCCGGAUUGGAGUCUGCAACUCGACUCCAUGAAGUCGGAAUCGCUAGUAAUCGUGGAUCAGAAUGCCACGGUGAAUACGUUCCCGGGCCUUGUACACACCGCCCGUCACACCAUGGGAGUGGGUUGCAAAAGAAGUAGGUAGCUUAACCUUCGGGAGGGCGCUUACCACUUUGUGAUUCAUGACUGGGGUGA
RNAcentral lists this ribosomal RNA (1463 nucleotides) under uncultured Klebsiella sp. Its description in RNAcentral is "bacterial SSU rRNA". It matches the Rfam family "Bacterial small subunit ribosomal RNA". Lineage: Bacteria; Pseudomonadati; Pseudomonadota; Gammaproteobacteria; Enterobacterales; Enterobacteriaceae. The record is from RNAcentral.